RNAcentral lists this ribosomal RNA (253 nucleotides) under uncultured bacterium. Its description in RNAcentral is "partial 16S ribosomal RNA". It matches the Rfam family "Archaeal small subunit ribosomal RNA", at positions 474 to 727 of the family's 1478-position model. The record is from RNAcentral.
UACCAGCACUCCGAGUGGUCGGGACGAUUAUUGGGCCUAAAGCAUCCGUAGCCGGUUUUACAAGUCCUCCGUUAAAUCCAGCUGCUUAACAGAUGGGCUGCGGAGGAUACUAUAAGACUAGGAGGCAGGAGAGGCAAGCGGUACUCAGUGGGUAGGGGUAAAAUCCGUUGAUCCAUUGAAGACCACCAGUGGCGAAGGCGGCUUGCCAGAAUGCGCUCGACGGUGAGGGAUGAAAGCUGGGGGAGCAAACCGG